UGGGGAAUAUUGCACAAUGGCCGCAAGCCUGAUGCAGCCAUGCCGCGUGUAUGAAGAAGGCCUUCGGGUUGUAAAGUACUUUCAGCGGGGAGGAAGGGAGUAAAGUUAAUACCUUUGCUCAUUGACGUUACCCGCAGAAGAAGCACCGGCUAACUCCGUGCCAGCAGCCGCGGUAAUACGGAGGGUGCAAGCGUUAAUCGGAAUUACUGGGCGUAAAGCGCACGCAGGCGGUUUGUUAAGUCAGAUGUGAAAUCCCCGGGCUCAACCUGGGAACUGCAUCUGAUACUGGCAAGCUUGAGUCUCGUAGAGGGGGGUAGAAUUCCAGGUGUAGCGGUGAAAUGCGUAGAGAUCUGGAGGAAUACCGGUGGCGAAGGCGGCCCCCUGGACGAAGACUAACGCUCAGGUGCGAAAGCGUGGGGAGCAAACAGG
Molecule: ribosomal RNA, 429 nt
Filed under: Chloroflexota bacterium
Lineage: Bacteria; Bacillati; Chloroflexota
Description: Chloroflexi bacterium partial 16S ribosomal RNA
Rfam family: Bacterial small subunit ribosomal RNA
Source: RNAcentral